AGAGUUUGAUCCUGGCUCAGAUUGAACGCUGGCGGCAGGCCUAACACAUGCAAGUCGAGCGGAUGAGUGGAGCUUGCUCCAUGAUUCAGCGGCGGACGGGUGAGUAAUGCCUAGGAAUCUGCCUGGUAGUGGGGGACAACGUUUCGAAAGGAACGCUAAUACCGCAUACGUCCUACGGGAGAAAGUGGGGGGUCUUCGGACCUCACGCUAUCAGAUGAGCCUAGGUCGGAUUAGCUAGUUGGCGAGGUAAAGGCUCACCAAGGCGACGAUCCGUAGCGGGUCUGAGAGGAUGAUCCGCCACACUGGGACUGAGACACGGCCCAGACUCCUACGGGAGGCAGCAGUGGGGAAUUUUGGACAAUGGGGGCAACCCUGAUUCAGCCAUGCCGCGUGAGUGAAGAAGGCCUUCGGGUUGUAAAGUACUUUCAGCGGGGAGGAAGGGGAUGUGGUUAAUAACCGCAUCCAUUGACGUUACCCGCAGAAGAAGCACCGGCUAACUCCGUGCCAGCAGCCGCGGUAAUA
RNAcentral lists this ribosomal RNA (522 nucleotides) under uncultured bacterium. Its description in RNAcentral is "bacterial SSU rRNA". It matches the Rfam family "Bacterial small subunit ribosomal RNA", at positions 8 to 525 of the family's 1533-position model. The record is from RNAcentral.